RNAcentral lists this ribosomal RNA (545 nucleotides) under Lactiplantibacillus plantarum. RNAcentral's name for it is "bacterial SSU rRNA". It matches the Rfam family "Bacterial small subunit ribosomal RNA", at positions 337 to 872 of the family's 1533-position model. The record is from RNAcentral. Lineage: Bacteria; Bacillati; Bacillota; Bacilli; Lactobacillales; Lactobacillaceae.
UCCUACGGGGGAGGCAGCAGUAGGGAAUCUUCCACAAUGGACGAAAGUCUGAUGGAGCAACGCCGCGUGAGUGAAGAAGGGUUUCGGCUCGUAAAACUCUGUUGUUAAAGAAGAACAUAUCUGAGAGUAACUGUUCAGGUAUUGACGGUAUUUAACCAGAAAGCCACGGCUAACUACGUGCCAGCAGCCGCGGUAAUACGUAGGUGGCAAGCGUUGUCCGGAUUUAUUGGGCGUAAAGCGAGCGCAGGCGGUUUUUUAAGUCUGAUGUGAAAGCCUUCGGCUCAACCGAAGAAGUGCAUCGGAAACUGGGAAACUUGAGUGCAGAAGAGGACAGUGGAACUCCAUGUGUAGCGGUGAAAUGCGUAGAUAUAUGGAAGAACACCAGUGGCGAAGGCGGCUGUCUGGUCUGUAACUGACGCUGAGGCUCGAAAGUAUGGGUAGCAAACAGGAUUAGAUACCCUGGUAGUCCAUACCGUAAACGAUGAAUGCUAAGUGUUGGAGGGUUUCCGCCCUUCAGUGCUGCAGCUAACGCAUUAAGCAUCCGC